This 405-nucleotide ribosomal RNA is filed under the name uncultured bacterium. Its description in RNAcentral is "partial 16S ribosomal RNA". It matches the Rfam family "Bacterial small subunit ribosomal RNA", at positions 29 to 525 of the family's 1533-position model. The record is from RNAcentral.
AUUGAACGCUGGCGGCAGGCCUAACACAUGCAAGUCGAGCGAGCGGCGGACGGGUGAGUAAUGUAUGGGGAUCUGCCCGAUAGAGGGGGAUAACUACUGGAAACGGUGGCUAAUACCGCAUACUAUCGGAUGAACCCAUAUGGGAUUAGCUAGUAGGUGGGGAAAAGGCUCACCUAGGCGACGAUCUCUAGCUGGUCUGAGAGGAUGAUCAGCGACACGGGAAAUGAGACACGGGCCAGAUCCCGAGGGGAGGCAGCGGUGGGGAAUAUGGCAAAAUGGGCGAAAGCCGGAUGCAGCCAUGCCGCGUGUGUGAAGAAGGCCUUCGGGUUGUAAAGCACUUUCAGCGAGGAGGGGUGACUCGCAGAAGAAGCACCGGCUAACUCCGUGCCAGCCGCCGCGGUAAUC